Molecule: ribosomal RNA, 143 nt
Filed under: uncultured bacterium
Lineage: Bacteria
Description: partial 16S ribosomal RNA
Rfam family: Bacterial small subunit ribosomal RNA
Source: RNAcentral
UGGGGGAGUAUUGGACAAUGGGGGGGAACCCCGGAUCCAGCGACGCCGCGUGAGUGAAGAAGUAUUUCGGUAUGUAAAGCUCUGUCAGCAGGGAAGAAAGAAAUGACGGUACCUGACCAAGAAGCCCCGGCUAACUACGUGCC